Molecule: transfer RNA, 81 nt
Filed under: Gemmatirosa sp.
Lineage: Bacteria; Pseudomonadati; Gemmatimonadota; Gemmatimonadia; Gemmatimonadales; Gemmatimonadaceae
Also listed under: 3 other names
Description: tRNA-Leu
Rfam family: tRNA
About the family: Transfer RNA (tRNA) molecules are approximately 80 nucleotides in length. Their secondary structure includes four short double-helical elements and three loops (D, anti-codon, and T loops).
Source: RNAcentral
GCUCGGGUGGCGAAAUGGCAGACGCGCCAGACUUAGGAUCUGGUGCCGCAAGGCGUGCGGGUUCGAGUCCCGCCCCGAGCA